This 500-nucleotide ribosomal RNA is filed under the name uncultured bacterium. RNAcentral describes it as "bacterial SSU rRNA". It matches the Rfam family "Bacterial small subunit ribosomal RNA", at positions 30 to 524 of the family's 1533-position model. The record is from RNAcentral.
AUUGAACGCUGGCGGCAUGCUUUACACAUGCAAGUCGAACGGCAGCGCGGGGCAACCUGGCGGCGAGUGGCGAACGGGUGAGUAAUAUAUCGGAACGUACCCAGAAGUGGGGGAUAACGUAGCGAAAGUUACGCUAAUACCGCAUACGAUCUACGGAUGAAAGUGGGGGACCUUCGGGCCUCAUGCUUUUGGAGCGGCCGAUAUCUGAUUAGCUAGUUGGUGAGGUAAAGGCUCACCAAGGCGACGAUCAGUAGCUGGUCUGAGAGGACGACCAGCCACACUGGGACUGAGACACGGCCCAGACUCCUACGGGAGGCAGCAGUGGGGGAAUUUUGGACAAUGGGGGCAACCCUGAUCCAGCAAUGCCGCGUGAGUGAAGAAGGCCUCGGUUGUAAGACUCUUUGUUCAGGGAAGAAACGGUAGAGGGCGUAAUAUCCCUUGCUAAUGACGGUACCGUGAAGAAUAAGCACGGCUAACUACGUGCCAGCAGCCGCGGUAAU